Molecule: transfer RNA, 506 nt
Filed under: Tolypothrix sp. HA4266-MV1
Lineage: Bacteria; Bacillati; Cyanobacteriota; Cyanophyceae; Nostocales; Tolypothrichaceae
Description: 16S-23S ribosomal RNA intergenic spacer
Rfam family: tRNA (bases 271-343)
Source: RNAcentral
UUAAAGGAGACCUACCCACUCAGAUAUCGAAAACUUUCUUGUAAUUAGAUAUUGAGUUGGUCAUCCUUCAGGUCGGUCGCGACAAUUGUAAUGUAUCUAUCUUUCAAACUAUAUUUUGGUUCAAAUUGGGCUAUUAGCUCAGGUGGUUAGAGCGCACCCCUGAUAAGGGUGAGGUCCCUGGUUCGAGUCCAGGAUGGCCCACCUGAAAAAGUAAAAAGAGCAAAGUCAAAAGUAAAAAAACUUUUAACUUUUAAUUUUUCACUUGACUCUGGGGGUUUAGCUCAGUUGGUAGAGCGCCUGCUUUGCAAGCAGGAUGUCAGCGGUUCGAGUCCGCUAACCUCCACCAGUAGUAAAUGAAGGAAAAUUCAGCAACUGAGCAUUUUGUUGCCAGACUGCUGGAUAAAUUUCCAGCCAUAGAACCUUGAAAACUGCAUAGUGAAGCGAAUAAAACAGCAGAGACACACAGACAUAGUGGUGUUUGCUUAGAGAAUGACCAAUUGUUUUUU